AGAUAAUGUUCAUCGAUAUGAGUGAAUUUCAAUGUACUUGGAAACAUUUCACUGCACCUGUGAAUCUCAAAGGACUUUAUUAGCUUCCAAGAUAUCAUGUAGCAUAGCUGACAUGGUAUGUUUAUCUGAUUGUAUGUCCCUACUUAACAUUUCAGAUAUUAACACAUGCCUACACAAUAAAGUGAAAAGGAUUAUUCUCCUGAGCAUUUAAACAAGAACUGAUGCAAACUAAUUAUAACGGUGAUUUGGGGCUGAAAUACUUUCCCAUCACUCUCGAAUCUAAUAGCUUCAAGGCUUCCUCAGAUUUAAUGCAAUUAGGUUUUUUCUAUUGGCUAAAUGAAGUUCCUCUGGACACAAAAUAAUCCAUUAGUGCCUCAAAACUUCCUUGCUUUACCACCCUAAUCUCUAGAGCUGCAAUUAUGCUCCUUUUCCUAUAGAUUUUAUAUGUAUAAUGCAAUGACUCUUCCAUUCUAGAGCAACACUCUACCAUUAUCUUUGGGUCAAGCUCUUUGCAAUGCUUCCCUUCUUUUCCCUUGAUCUCCCAAAAUAAGACAUAGUGACCUGGUGCUGAAGAAGUAUCAACAUAGCUAGUGUACUCCGUCAAGAUGAAUCCGAGUGGAUCGAGAAGAGCCUUUGCUUCUGUCACAGCCUUGAAAAGGUCUGUUUCGCUUGUUUUUUCAUGAUCAACACUUAGGAUAACAUUUUUCCUCUCCAGAAAUUGGAAUUGAGGUGCUUUAUUGUAGAAACCACUCACCAUAAGAACAUCUCCAACUUUAUAUCGAUAUAAUCCUGAAAGAAACAAAGGAAUAUCAUCAAACUAGAUUAGAUCAUUAUCUAACAGGUUAAUGUAGGAACUAGGAAGCAUAAUGCAAAAUUAGAAGAUGGCAUUUAAUUGAUUAAAUUCAAAGGAGGAACUUUUACCUGCACAAGUUGAGACAACUAGUUCAUAACAUUGACCAACCUUCACAUUUACAAGAUCAACAAGUUCAGUAUCUUCAUCGUUGCUCUUCAUUUCAAAAGAUUCAUCACGUUCAUUCUUCACAGGAAGGAAUUCAAAGUAAGCCAUGUUAGGGAGUAAUGUGUAGGAGAUAUCACAAGGUUUGCAUAGAGGUUCUAAGUUAAGCCCACAAAAAGUUUCCGAGCAAGCAUAGAAAGCUGAAACUAAAGGGAGCCCUCGGCAAUAGAACUCAAGUUCUGUAGUAUACUGUCUCAUAGCGCCAGUACAAAUACAACCAAUAUACCUUGCUUUAGUCCAUAGCUUUCUGAUUAUUCCUUCCCAUGAUUUAUAAUUGCAUAUGCUCUCUAUCAAGUCAGCUUGCUCUGGAUUAUGCUUCAUGAUCAAUGAUGCUGCAUUUCUGCAUCCUGAGUCGGUGAUCCAAUCGCUUAAUCGACCUGUUUUUAUGUCAUAGCAUAGCUCUUGCCAGUGAUUUUCUAGAAACUUGAUACCUCUUAGCACCGUAGAUGCAAAGAGUGAACCAACCUUGACAACCUCGUCUCAUUGGAUUAAACCAAAAAGUAAUUGACAGUAUAGGCCCUGGUUGGGGUCUGGGCAAAAGAUGGUCUCAAUGGGGCUUGUGUAAAGCUUAGGCAAAUUGGUUCUAAACUUACUCUCGCUGUACAUGCUCGUUGAAAAAAUUGCUGCCUUGAGGCCACUAGGAGUUUCAAUCUCUGGUCUGGCAAACAUAAGCUCCAUUCUUUUACCGGCUUGGUUGAUGUCACCGAAGUGCCUUUAAAAUUAGACGGAUAAAGGCUUGUUUAAAAUGAUAUGACUUUAAUUAAUGAAAAUUAGAAAUUUUAUUACAUUUGUGUAUGUAAGGAAAUCACAUAUUUAUCAAAAAAAAAAUAAGCUGAUAUUUAUUAAUUAGGCUCAAGAAAAUGGAACUAGGAAAUCACAUAUUUAGAAUAUAAAGACUUGUUUAAAAAUAAUAUACAAUAAAUAAUUUAGAACUAAUUAUUAGUAACACGUGAAAUAUCUGUGAUAUUAAAAUAAAAUAAAAAAUAGAUUAAGUUGUGAGUAAAAUGCAAUUUAAACAUAAAAACACAUCAAAUUAAAAAUACUAAAUUAAUAUAAUUGUUUAUCAUUGUUGUGUUAUCAGUCCUGAGUUGGUGUUUUGUUAAUUUGUGACAAUAACUCAAUCAAGAACAUUGUUAAUAAGAAAUUCUAUCAAACAUGUAUGCAUGUGGAAACCGCGUAUUUAGAAUAUAAUAUAUACAAUUGAUGGAGGUAAUAAAUUGUGCAUAAUAAAAUUAAAACGUAUAAAGAAAUUAAAAAAAAAGUUUGGUUGAGUGGUAAAUUUAAAGUUGUACCAAUACAAUUGGUUUGGAUUCAAAUCUCACAAUAUGAAUAGAUUUUAUUAAAAAACUAAAAUAUCCUUAAAUAAUAUAAUUUAUUUUAAGUAUGGAAUUUUAUUUUUAUAAUUUUCCUAACUAAACAUGUGGUGCUCAGUUAACAUGUGACACCAACUUAAUUAAGGAGUUUAUUAAUAGUAUAAAUACAAAAAAAUUUAAAAAAAUAUAUAUUCUUGUUUGAAAGCUAAAAUUAUAUAUAUUUUUAAGGAAGCUAAAAUAUUAUUAUAUCAUAGAAAAUAAUGCUAUAUUGUAUAAUAUUUAAAUAUAUAAUAAACUUAUAUUAGUACUAUGCAUAAGUAUACAUAUUUAAAUAACUAAUGAUAUUGUAAUAUAUAUAAUAUAUUGGGUUAAUAUUUGGUAUAUUAGCAGUGAGCUUAUUUUAUUUUACAAAUAAUUAAAAAAAAUUCAUUUGUCCUUUUUUUUAAAUAGUUAUUUUCUUUAAUAUUUUAUUAUAUCCUAUAUAAUAUGUAUCAGCCUGUUAACCUUACUUGUAGAGUCUAAAAACUCUACUUGCAACGUGCCAAAUAUUUUCCCUAAUACAUUUAAUAUAUUAUAAUAUGUUUAAUAUCAGUUGCGAAUUAAACAUAUCAUUAAUAUAAUGUUUAUUUAAUAUUAAAAUGGAUUAUUAUCCUAUCAGAGUUUGAAUCUUCUAAUCAACAAUAUAAUUUAAUAGUUCACUUUAAGCAAAAGUGUUCAUGAUUUUAGCUUAAAUAUGAUGUUAACGAAUUUUAUAUUUAUCUAAGUUUAGCCCGAUUUGAAAUAUGGAUUUAAAAUUGUCCAAGCUCCCCUAUAUUUGUAAAUGUUUAACUUAAGUUUACUUUUAUUUUUUGGAAUUUUUUAAUUUAUAUUAUUUUUAUCUAAUAUUUAAUAUUUUUAUAUAUUUUUUAUUUAUUAAAAUUUUAUACAUAAUUAUCUUAAUAUUUACAUUAUAAUAUUAUAUAUGAGUUAGUAUUGAGCUGUCUUUAUUGAUGAGAACUUUUUUAAAGAAAAAACUAUACAAAUAGUUACUCAAUUAUAAAAAAAUUCAUUUUAGACACUAAAAAAUAUUUACAAUUUAAACACCCACGUUACCUAGUUCAGCUAUUUUGGUCCCUCUCAUUAUAAUCACCAACAGAAGGCUGAUGUGGCAAUUAAAAGAAUUGGUAUAAUAAUAAAUUUAGCCCUUAACAUAUUAUAUCAAUUUAGUAAUUAAUAUAAUUAUAUUUAUUUAAUAUUAAUAUUAUUAAUAUAAAUUUUAAAUUUAUUAUUGUUAUAAAUAUUUUUUUAUUAGGUGGAUAUCCAUCAAUAUCAAGAUAAAUUUUAUGUACUUCAAGACUCUGAGACUAAAUAGAAGUACAGUUUAUUUCAUUUAUAUGUCUUAUGUCUAUAAAUAUAGAUUUUGGAACAACAUUGUACACAUCUCUAUUGAUCAAUAAAAAUAUGCAUUUCUCUUUGUUCUCCUAUUUCUUUCUCUUUUUUUUUUUACUUUUAUUAUUAUUUAUUUAAUAAAAAUUAUUAUAAUUUUUUGAAAAUAUUUAUGUUUUUUUUUAUUUUUUUAGAAUUAAGAUCAAAUUGAGAUUGUAAAUUUUGAGGGUUAAUGUUUUAAAAUUAUGACUAAAUUGAUAUAAUAUGUAAAAAUUUAGAGUUAAAUUUAUUAAUAUACCGAUUUUUUUAACUACCACGCCAACAUUCGCGUGAUUUUAACGGGAUCGAACAAAAUGACCUAAGUGAUUGCUUAACUAACAAUUUUUUUAUUUAUUUUUUAUUUUGAACUUUUAAUUGUUAGAUGAGUAACUACGUAGUUUACCCCUAUCUUUUUAUUUAAUCGGAGAAGUAAACCGCAAUUUAUUGUUAAUGGCAACUCUAGGCAGGGGAUUUUUAUCCGUAAUUGAUCAAUGAGUAAAAGGUUUGAUUUCACAUGUAGCUGAAUGAAAAACUGAAAAAAAGAAAUUGAUAUGGGUUCAUACCUCAUCGUCGGAGACUCGCUGAAGGUUCCAACUAAUGGCCCCUUGUUAAGAUAUUCAGCAGUGACAGGAAUCAGCUUUGGCUGCCCGCCUGAAGUCCCAGAGCUGCAUUUGAUCAAACAGAUGAUAGAACUAUUAGAAGGAAGCAAACAAUACCACAAAACACACAGAAGCAAAGCAACAAAUUCAUGCAUGCCUUAGAUAGAACCCUGUAACGGGUUCAGCUACAAGGAUAUCUGAUGUCUCCCCAUUAGCAAUCCUAUCUAUGUAAGGCUUGAGAUGUUCAUACGUAACAAUGGGAACAUUUUUCUUAAAGAGCUGCUUCUCGGUUUGACCAUGGAGGAAUCCCCUUAAAUACUCUGUUCCUGCAUUUCUACUUAGUAUUUCCCCCAAUUCCUCGUCUUGAAUUUGCUGAGCAUUUGUGGUCAGUUCCUCAAUCAUCAUCAACCCACCUUCAUACCCAUUCGUUGCCAUCAACCCUAUUACUGAGAUCCACACAGCUUUUUCUGUUUUCUUUUUGGGGAUGCUCUGGCUAUUGGCAAUGGAAUCUCUACCUACGCUAAAUAUAAUAAGAUUCAUGGGACUUGACCCACACAUGUCGGCACGCAUAAUAAACAAUGUGGCAUCAAUGAAAUGAUUAAAACAUGAAUUAGUAAUAUAUUAAAUAUAUUAAAACUAAGCAUGUGAAAGUUGAAUUUAAUGGAAUUGAGUACCAAUUUACGCCGAAAGUGGUUUAGUUGAUUUUUAAAUAAUAUUUUUUUAAUAUAUAUUGACUAAAGUGCUCUUUGCUGUCUUUUGAUGAAAAUAAUUCAAACAAUUCUUAUUUAAAUAAUGAAUGUGAAACAUGUUUUAUUAAUAUUAAAAUAAAUAUAAUUAUAUUUAUAAGAGAACGUUUGUAUGUAGGGUGGCCUAUUCACAAAGAUGGGCGAACAAUGCUUUUCUGAAGGGAGCGAGUAAUUCGUUAUUUUAGAAAAAGGAGACAUACUUUCAAAGGUGUGGGUCAUUUGAUAACUAGUCGGAUAGCAGAAAAUAGAGAACUACCUUCUCAAAUGAUUUGUAAUACUAACUCGUGUCCACAACUAGACGGGUACGCGACUUAAACUUAAAUCACACCUAGAGCGAUGAACAUCGUUGCCAUUAAGCCAAUACAGAGAAUUCUUAGAAACAAUUUUUUAAUCACUAGCAGCAUAUAUUUCAAAUGUAAAAGGAAAAGAGAAGAAAAUGAAAAUAAAAAAUUAUCACCAAAAUAACACCAACCUUGCAAUAGGCAACCCAAUGUUAGCUUACAUACAAUAUUUUAAUAUACAUAUGCUUUGCUGGAAAACUUGCUUUGUAUCUCCCUUACCAAAUAUAUGAAUAUUUGACUGGUAAACUUCCCAAAAUAUUAUAUUAUACAAUCAAAUUAGGGUUUUUUUUUUGCUCUUCUGAAAGAAUUGUGGCUAACCCUAAAAAAUUGGGAUUGUUUUUUUAAAUUAGGAUUUUUUUCAUGCAAGAUUUAGAUUUAGGUUUUAUUUUUAGAUUAGGAUUUUUAUUUAUGCAAGAUUUGGCUAACCCUUGAAAAGUACCUCCAAAUUGCCAUCGAAUCUCCAUCCAAAAGCCUUGUUUAUUGCCCCAUUGCUUUCCUCCAAAAUAAUGCUGGUCCAUCGUCGAAAUAGCCGCUGAUCGCUCGCUAUAUUGGAUAUCGGUUAGCUAAGUUAAUUUAGGUGUUUAAUUUCUUGUGAUAUAUUUGGUUUUUAAUUCCAAAGUAGAGUUAGAUAUAUAUAUAUAUAUAUAUAUAUAUAUGGUAGUUUAAAAUGUUUUAGAUUAUCAUUAAACUAUAAACUACUUAGCGUUUAAAUUUUUAAUCCUGUACAUCAAUUAUAGAUGAUUCGUAAGUUCCAGAUUGAGCAGCAUCACCAAAGAGUCUUCACAAUAAUUAGUUUGUGACGACGUUUUCACUUCGUUUAGUUUUGACAUGUACUUAGGUCCAUCGGAUUUGUGGGCUAUUUUUAUAUUGGUUAAAUAUUUAGUUUAAGGCAAGCAAUCUUUGUGUGUUUGAAUUGAACGAUUAAUUUAUUUAAACUUUUUAAUUUUAAAUUUGAUAAUCGAAUUUGUUAAAAUGAAUUAAUUUGUUAAUUGCAUUAAUUGAAUGAUUGAUCGAAUGAAUUAUUUCGAUAACCAUUAUAACACUCCGAAUUUAACUUGACUCUCAAGUCAAGUUUGAGGUAUAACAAUUAAUCCUCAAAAUUGAUCGUAUGUAAGAAGGCUUCAGCUUCUUCACCUUCCCACUUUUACAUAAACCUUUAAUGACCAUGUUGUGCACGAUAGUGUUACACUUCAAACCUUGCGUCUCUACAUAAUCCCAGAGAUUGAUCACCUCUUCCGUAAGAGCAGUUCUAGCUAAGCCCCUAACAAAGACACCGUAAGAAACAAUAUGUCCCCCGUUCUCCCUGUCUGUUCCGUUUAUCUGGUUUUUAUCAUAACCAAGAUACAUUGUGCUUGGUAUAGAUCAAAUGGAUAAUAGAAAUUUUUUAUCUGUUCGCAGACAAUUUUCUUCCUUUGGUUUGCAUUAUCUGGUUGGAUGUUUCGAUGCUUAAUAUUUGCCACAUGGAUACUACCAUUUGCUGGACCUCUUCUCAUUGGGACUGUUGCCAAUAAUCUUGUUAUUAAGGUAUCACUUACUGCUAUAAGAUGGCGUAUGUAAUGCAAGACAUAAGGGAUGACUUCUGCAACAGGCGUUCAUCUUUUCCAUAACAUGAUUUAAUUUGUUUAGUUUUUCAUCACUUGUUUUUUACUUGUAAAAUGCGACACUGGGUAAGCUUUUUCCAUAACACGUGGAAUCGUAUGAUCGAAAUUAAAGUGUUCAUGAGUUUGAUUUAAAUAUGAUAUUAACAAAUUUUAUAUUUAUUUAAAUUUAGCUCGACUUGAAAUAUGGAUUUAAAAUUGUCUAAGCUCGUCUAUAUUUGUAAAUGUUUAACUUAAGUUCAUUUUAGGUUUACUUAUAUUUUUUGAAAUUUUUAAAAAAUACAUAUUAUUUUUAUUUAAUAUUUAAUAGUUUUAUAUAUUAAAAUUUUAUAUAUAAUUAUCUUAUUAUUUUUUAAUAUUUACAUUAUAAUAUUAUAUAUGAGUUAAUAUUUGGUACACUAAUACUGUACUUUUUUUAAAAAAAUAUUUAUUUUUUAAUAUUUUAUCAUACUCCUAUAGGUUAUAAGACACUUGACAACUCCUACCUUAUUUGUGAAAUCUAAAAAUUUCACUCGUAGUGUACCAAUUAUUUUCUCAUUAUAUAUUAUUAUACAUUUAAUUUUUAAACACUGAAAUUUAUUUAGAAGAAACUUUCAAAAAGAAAAAAAUAAACUAUACAAAUAAUCACUUAAUUAUAAAAAGAAAAUCAUUUUAGAUAUUAAGAAAAAGUUUACAAUUUAAACAUCCACGUUACCUAGUUUGAGUAUUUUGGUUCUUCUCGUUAAAAUCACAAAUGAAAUUGCUGACAUAGCAAUUAAAAAAGUCGAUAUAAUAUCCAGUUUAUCCCUCAACAUAUGAUAUUAAUUUAGUUAUAAUUUUAAAAGAUUAAGCCUUAAAAUUUACAAAUAGGCUCAAUUUCAUCCUAAUUCUAAAAUUCAACUAAAUAUAUAAAAAUACAUAAAUAUUUUUAAGAAAUAUAAUAAUAAAUUCAACACCAUUCAGCUCUCUAAAAUUCUAAGUAUGUCUUGUUUAGGGAAGUUGUCCUUUUUUUCCUUUUUAGAGAAUUAUUUUGGGGUUUUAAUUUCAUUAGAGAAUUCUCUAUAAGGCAAUUCAAACAUGCUUAGUAAAUUUUUUUCUUUUCUUUCCAUAGCCUCUACAACCAAGGAAGGGAGGGAGGGAGGUGGGAGAUUUUUAUUUUAUUUAAUAAUUAAUAUUAAUAAUAUAAAUAUAAAAUUUAAAUUUAUUAUUAUUAUAAAUAUUUUCUUAUUAGGUGGGGAUUUCCAUCAAUAUCAGUAUAAGUUUGAUGUACUUCAAGACUCUAAGAUUAAUUAGAAGUAGAGUUUAUUUCAUUUAUAUGUCUUAUGUGUUAUGUCUAUAAAUAUAGAUUUUGGUUGUGAUGAAUAUAAGAGAAAUGAUUGAAUGCCCUAGUAUGAUUUAGAUAUAGUUGACAUGUCAAUAAAAACUGUUAGCAUUAUCGCGUCUAUUUCGUGUACGUAGGUAUGAGAUGUGUAUAAUAUGGAGAUUGAUAUUGCACUUUUGUGCUUAUUUGGUGUGGUGGAGGUUAAUGCCAUAUUUGUAAUGAUAUGUGCUAUUGGGGGAAGGAUUCUAUGAUAUGAUUGCACUUUAUGCACUUGGUGUGAUGUAAUUUUGUAUUGUAUGUGCUAUAUGGUGCAGUGGUUUAAUUAUUUCGUAUAUUCGAUUUUCGAAUUAAUUACAGCAAAUAAAUGAGUAAAGAUAAUUCGAUUUUCGAAUUAAUUACAGCAAAUAAAUGAGUAAAGAUAAAGUUCAUCGACGGACUUAUACAAAUUGCUAACUGAAGGGGCAGAGAUAUGUUUAAGAGACAAGUUGAACGAGCUUGAAGAUUAAGAUAAAGUUCAUCUAUUUUUCCGACAUCCCAUAUGAGUGAAUUUCGAUGUACUUGGAAACAUUUCACUGCACUUGUGAAUCUCAAAGGACUUUAUUAGCUUCCAAGAUAUCAUGUAGCAUAGCUGACAUGGUAUGUUUAUCUAAUUGUAUGUCCCUACUUAACAUUUCAGAUAUUAACACAUGUCUACACAAUAAAGUGAAAAGGAUUAUUCUCCUGAGCUUUUAAACAAGAACUGAUGCAAACUAAUUAUAACGGUGGUUUGGGGCUGAAAUACUUUCCUAUCACUCUCGAAUCUAGUAUCUUCAAGGCUUCCUCAGAUUUAAUACAACUAGGUUUUUUGUAUUGGCUCAAUGAAGUUCCUUUGGACACAAAAUAAUCCAUUAGUGCCUCAAAACUUCCUUGCUUUACCACCCUAAU
Molecule: long non-coding RNA, 9240 nt
Filed under: Gossypium barbadense (sea-island cotton)
Lineage: Eukaryota; Viridiplantae; Streptophyta; Magnoliopsida; Malvales; Malvaceae
Description: long non-coding RNA (GBAR_LNC015278)
Source: RNAcentral